UGCGGGAGCGGGCUUGCUCGCGAUGCUGACGGCUCGAUCGUCAGACAAAACCGGGCGAUGCUAUCGCGAGCAAGCCCGCUCCCACA
Molecule: unclassified non-coding RNA, 86 nt
Filed under: Pseudomonas psychrophila
Lineage: Bacteria; Pseudomonadati; Pseudomonadota; Gammaproteobacteria; Pseudomonadales; Pseudomonadaceae
Source: RNAcentral